Molecule: ribosomal RNA, 245 nt
Filed under: uncultured bacterium
Lineage: Bacteria
Description: partial 16S ribosomal RNA
Rfam family: Bacterial small subunit ribosomal RNA
Source: RNAcentral
UACAGAGACGGCAAGCGUUGCUCGGAUUCAUUGGGCGUAAAGGGUCCGCAGGUGGUCGGGCAAGUCGGAUGUGAAAUCCCGCGGCUUAACCGCGGAGGGUCAUUCGAAACUGCUCGACUGGAGGACUGGAGAGGAGACUGGAAUUGUCGGUGUAGCGGUGAAAUGCGUAGAUAUCGACAAGAACACCAGUGGCGAAGGCGGGUCUCUGGCCAGUUCCUGACACUCAGGGACGAAAGCGUGGGGAG